UAGUCGGCCCAGUCUUCAAUCCAUUCUGCCAGUGAUUUCUGGGAGUUACGCUCGCCAUUAACAGACAACAGAGCAGAGAACGGUGCUGUCUUUUUCAGUUUGAGAGUGGCGGUGUUAUCUGCGUGACCUGGUUCAUCAAUAGUACCCAGGUUAAGCACACUGACGGCACGCAUAUUAUCA
RNAcentral lists this unclassified non-coding RNA (180 nucleotides) under soil metagenome. RNAcentral describes it as "partial internal transcribed spacer 1". The record is from RNAcentral.